RNAcentral lists this ribosomal RNA (884 nucleotides) under uncultured bacterium. Its description in RNAcentral is "bacterial SSU rRNA". It matches the Rfam family "Bacterial small subunit ribosomal RNA", at positions 65 to 932 of the family's 1533-position model. The record is from RNAcentral.
AACGACAGAAGUGAUCUCUUCGGAGUGAACGACUGGGCGACGAGUGGCGGACGGGUGAGUAACGCGUAGGAAUCUGCCCGUGUAGUGGGGGAUAGCCCGAGGAAACUCGGGCUAAUACCGCAUAAGUCCUACGGGGGAAAGUGGGGGCCUUUCGAGCCUCACGCUAUAGGAUGAGCCUAUGUCUGAUUAGCUUGUUGGUAGGGUAAUGGCCUACCAAGGCGAUGAUCAGUAGCUGGUCUGAGAGGACGAACAGCCACACUGGGACUGAGACACGGCCCAGACUCCUACGGGAGGCAGCAGUGGGGAAUAUUGGACAAUGGGCGCAAGCCUGAUCCAGCAAUGCCGCGUGUGUGAAGAAGGCCUGCGGGUCGUAAAGCACUUUCAGCAGGAAAGAAAAGCGAAGGGUUAAUACCCCUUCGCCUUGACGUUACCUGCAGAAGAAGCACCGGCUAACUUCGUGCCAGCAGCCGCGGUAAUACGAAGGGUGCAAGCGUUAAUCGGAAUCACUGGGCGUAAAGCGCGCGUAGGUGGUUUGCUAAGUCGGAUGUGAAAGCCCUGGGCUCAACCUGGGAAUGGCACUCGAUACUGGCGGACUAGAGUAUGGUAGAGGGAAUCGGAAUUCUCGGUGUAGCGGUGGAAUGCGUAGAUAUCGGGAGGAACACCAGUGGCGAAAGCGGAUUCCUGGACCAAUACUGACACUGAGGUGCGAGAGCGUGGGGAGCAAACAGGAUUAGAUACCCUGGUAGUCCACGCCGUAAACGAUGAAAACUAGCCGUUGGGAAAUUAUUUUCUCAGUGGCGCAGCUAACGCGAUAAGUUUUCCGCCUGGGGAGUACGGCCGCAAGGCUAAAACUCAAAGGAAUUGACGGGGGCCUGCACAAGCGG